UCAUUAUAUAAGUUAUCGUUUAUUUGAUAGCACCUUACUACUUGGAUAACCGUGGUAAUUCUAGAGCUAAUACAUGCUAAAAACCCCGACUUCGGAAGGGGUGUAUUUAUUAGAUUAAAAACCAAUGCCCUUCGGGGCUCUCUGGUGAUUCAUGAUAACUUCUCGAAUCGCACGGCCUUGUGCCGGCGAUGGUUCAUUCAAAUUUCUUCCCUAUCAACUUUCGAUGUUUGGGUAUUGGCCAAACAUGGUUGCAACGGGUAACGGAGGGUUAGGGCUCGACCCCGGAGAAGGAGCCUGAGAAACGGCUACUACAUCCAAGGAAGGCAGCAGGCGCGCAAAUUACCCAAUCCCGACUCGGGGAGGUAGUGACAAUAAAUACUGAUACAGGGCUCUUUUGGGUCUUGUAAUUGGAAUGAGUACAAUUUAAAUCCCUUAACGAGGAACAAUUGGAGGGCAAGUCUGGUGCCAGCAGCCGCGGUAAUUCCAGCUCCAAUAGCGUAUAUUAAAGUUGUUGUGGUUAAAAAGCUCGUAGUUGAACCUUGGGCCUGGCUGGCCGGUCCGCCUCACCGCGUGUACUGGUCCGGCCGGGCCUUUCCCCCUGUGGAACCCCAUGCCCUUCACUGGGUGUGGCGGGAAAACAGGACUUUUACUUUGAAAAAAUUAGAGUGCUCAAGGCAGGCCUAUGCUCGAAUACAUUAGCAUGGAAUAAUAGAAUAGGACGUGUGGUUCUAUUUUGUUGGUUUCUAGGACCGCCGUAAUGAUUAAUAGGGACAGUCGGGGGCAUCAGUAUUCAAUUGUCAGAGGUGAAAUUCUUGGAUUUAUUGAAGACUAACUACUGCGAAAGCAUUUGCCAAGGAUGUUUUCAUUAAUCAGGAACGAAAGUUAGGGGAUCGAAGACGAUCAGAUACCGUCGUAGUCUUAACCAUAAACUAUGCCGACUAGGGAUCGGACGAUGUU
This 957-nucleotide ribosomal RNA is filed under the name Chaetopsina beijingensis. RNAcentral's name for it is "SSU rRNA". It matches the Rfam family "Eukaryotic small subunit ribosomal RNA", at positions 98 to 1064 of the family's 1831-position model. The record is from RNAcentral. Lineage: Eukaryota; Fungi; Ascomycota; Sordariomycetes; Hypocreales; Nectriaceae.